AUUGAACGCUGGCGGCAUGCCUAACACAUGCAAGUCGAACGGCAGCACGGUCUGGUUUACCAGAUGGGUGGCGAGUGGCGAACGGGUGAGUAAAGCGUAGGAAUAUACCUUAAAGAGGGGGAUAACCUGGGGAAACUCAGGCUAAUACCGCGUAAACUCUGCGGAGCAAAGCUGGGGACCGAAAGGCCUGGCGCUUUAAGAAUAGCCUGCGUCCGAUUAGCUAGUUGGUGGGGUAAAGGCUCACCAAGGCGACGAUCGGUAGCUGGUCUGAGAGGACGAACAGCCACACUGGGACUGAGACACGGCCCAGACUCCUACGGGAGGCAGCAGUGGGGAAUAUUGGACAAUGGGGGGAACCCUGAUCCAGCAAUGCCGCGUGUGUGAAGAAGGCCUGAGGGUUGUAAAGCACUUUCAGUGGGAGGAGGAUUACUAGGUUAAGAGCCAGGUAAUUGGACGUUACCCACAGAAGAAGCACCGGCUAACUCCGUGCCAGCAGCCGCGGUAAUGUCGUACG
This 514-nucleotide ribosomal RNA is filed under the name uncultured bacterium. Its description in RNAcentral is "bacterial SSU rRNA". It matches the Rfam family "Bacterial small subunit ribosomal RNA", at positions 29 to 531 of the family's 1533-position model. The record is from RNAcentral.